GAUUGACCUCGGAUCAGGUAGGGAUACCCGCUGAACUUAAGCAUAUCAAUAAGCGGAGGAAAAGAAACCAACAGGGAUUGCCUCAGUAACGGCGAGUGAAGCGGCAACAGCUCAAAUUUGAAAUCUGGGCCUCUUGGGCCCCGAGUUGUAAUUUGUAGAGGAUGUUUCGGGUGAGGUACCGUUCUAAGUUCCUUGGAACAGGGCGUCAUAGAGGGUGAGAAUCCCGUACGUGACCGGUGACCGAUCCCAUGUGAAACUCCUUCGACGAGUCGAGUUGUUUGGGAAUGCAGCUCAAAAUGGGUGGUAAAUUUCAUCUAAAGCUAAAUACUGGCCAGAGACCGAUAGCGCACAAGUAGAGUGAUCGAAAGAUGAAAAGCACUUUGGAAAGAGAGUUAAACAGUACGUGAAAUUGUUGAAAGGGAAGCGCUUGCAGCCAGACUCGCCCGGGGGUAAUCAACCGUUCUUCGGAUCGGUGCACUUCCCCCCGGUCGGGCCAGCAUCGGUUCGGGCGGUCAGAUAAAGGUUCUGGGAAUGUAGCUCCUCUCGGGGAGUGUUAUAGCCCAGGACGUAAUNUGNCCAGCCUGGACCGAGGACCGCGCUUU
Molecule: ribosomal RNA, 602 nt
Filed under: Conotrema sp. 2-MW-2004
Lineage: Eukaryota; Fungi; Ascomycota; Lecanoromycetes; Ostropales; Stictidaceae
Description: LSU rRNA
Rfam family: Eukaryotic large subunit ribosomal RNA
Source: RNAcentral